GCUGAACUGAUUUUGUUGCUUGGAGAGCCAAGUCGUUAAGGUCAAGGAGCCUCAGACCAGCAUCAUGGGCUUGGUUAAGAUCAAGGAGCAACUGUUCUUAUCAGUAGAGUUUAGAAGAGGAGGAAAGAAAGGAAGAGAGAAAAGCUAAGACCAAGAGAGCAUCUAUUCUAAACUGAACCAGGUAAAGCAAUAUAAGUAUCUAUAAAUAAAGGGCUAUAUCAUUUAAACCAAUGAUACUGUUAAUUACUAAGCAUGUAAAAGAAACAUCUGAUAUAACUAAAGCAAUAAAAGAAGUGUCACCACAUGCAACUACCAUGACUAUGUGAUGUGCAAUAUACAACUAAACCACUAAAAGAUGAUGUACUAAACAGAACAAGAAAUACCAGUACAUGGUAUUUAAAUAAAAACUAAUAUGUAUUGAAC
This 423-nucleotide ribosomal RNA is filed under the name Triticum aestivum (bread wheat). RNAcentral's name for it is "partial small subunit ribosomal RNA". The record is from RNAcentral. Lineage: Eukaryota; Viridiplantae; Streptophyta; Magnoliopsida; Poales; Poaceae.